UACGUAGGGGGCAAGCGUUGCCCGGAAUCAUUGGGCGUAAAGAGCGUGUAGGCGGCCCGAUAAGUCCGCUGUGAAAGUCCAGGGCUCAACCCUGGAAUGCCGGUGGAUACUGUCGGGCUCGAAUCCGGAAGAGGUGAGUGGAAUUCCUGGUGUAGCGGUGAAAUGCGCAGAUAUCAGGAGGAACACCUAUUGCGAAGGCAGCUCGCUGGGACGUAACUGACGCUGAGACGCGAAAGCGUGGGGAGCAAACAGG
Molecule: ribosomal RNA, 253 nt
Filed under: uncultured bacterium
Lineage: Bacteria
Description: partial 16S ribosomal RNA
Rfam family: Bacterial small subunit ribosomal RNA
Source: RNAcentral